GACGAACGCUGGCGGCGUGCUUAACACAUGCAAGUCGUACGGUAAGGCCCUUUCGGGGGUCCACGAGUGGCGCACGGGUGAGUAACACGUGAGUAACCUGCCCACAACUUUGGGAUAACGCUAGGAAACUGGUGCUAAUACUGGAUAUGUGCUCCUGCUGCAUGGUGGGGGUUGGAAAGCUCCGGCGGUUGUGGAUGGACUCGCGGCCUAUCAGCUUGUUGGUGGGGUAGUGGCCUACCAAGGCGGCGACGGGUAGCCGGCCUGAGAGGGUGACCGGCCACAUUGGGACUGAGAUACGGCCCAGACGCCUACGGGAGGCAGCAGUGGGGAAUAUUGCACAAGGGGCGCAAGCCGGAUGCAGCAACGCCGCGGGCGGGAGGACGGCCUUCGGGUUGUAAACCGCUUUCAGCAGGGACGAAGCUUUUUGUGACGGUACCUGCAGAAGAAGCACCGGCUAACUACGUG
Molecule: ribosomal RNA, 465 nt
Filed under: uncultured bacterium
Lineage: Bacteria
Description: partial 16S ribosomal RNA
Rfam family: Bacterial small subunit ribosomal RNA
Source: RNAcentral